AGAGGUCUACCACAUGCAGCAUUUUAAUGAAAUAAUAGUUUCUGCUUCUUGACACUGUUUGGGAAAUGGUCCAGAAGAAACAGAGUGGUGACCACACAGUGAUGCAGCUGCUCACGCUAAGGUGUUGUAGAUCAAUGGGAAACAGAAACACCCAAGAGAGGGUCCCUGGUUAUCUCCACAACUUCAAAAAGAGUGAUCAAAGGAUUGCAAACUGAUGUCUCUCAGACUGCAAAUAUGCACGCAGACUCUACUGUACCAUAGCAUGUAG
Molecule: long non-coding RNA, 268 nt
Filed under: Salvator merianae (Argentine black and white tegu)
Lineage: Eukaryota; Metazoa; Chordata; Lepidosauria; Squamata; Teiidae
Description: lncRNA (ENSSMRG00000013262.1)
Source: RNAcentral